This 299-nucleotide long non-coding RNA is filed under the name Homo sapiens (human). RNAcentral describes it as "HSALNT0069533". The record is from RNAcentral. Lineage: Eukaryota; Metazoa; Chordata; Mammalia; Primates; Hominidae.
UUUUCGGCUGGAAUGGGGAAUUUGUGAGCCAAGGUUAACUAUUUGUAACAUGUCAUCUUUCAAGGAAGCAUCUAACCAAGAUUAAGUCAAAGGCAUCUACCAGGUCCUGAAUUCUCUCCCAGAUGCACACCUUUUAAGGUCAAGGAUGCAUUCCAGGAAAGUUCUAUAAAAAUAUACCAUCAACUCCAACCUGAUAUUUGACCUAGCCAUGGAAAACCUCAUUGGCUCCUCACUGGAUCAGACCAUAAAAAUGAUCCAGGAAUGAAAAUCUAAGAUAAAUUCCCACCACUUCAAGAUGU